This 65-nucleotide transfer RNA is filed under the name Hespera obesula. RNAcentral describes it as "tRNA-Pro". Lineage: Eukaryota; Metazoa; Arthropoda; Insecta; Coleoptera; Chrysomelidae. The record is from RNAcentral.
CAGAUAUUAGUUUAUUAAAAUUUUAAUUUUGGAGAUUAAAGAUAGGAUUAUUUUUCUAUAUCUGA